AAUGAAUCCUAUGUUAGGGACUUGAAUUUUGCUGUGGGAAUUUGAAAAACAUGGGAAGCUGCUCUCUGCCAAGCUAUUUCCUUAAGGAUCCACUUUACAUACUGCUGAAUCAAUGGCCUGUCAGGUGCAGUUACAUGCCAUAGUGAUGAUAUGAGGUCAAUCAAAUGAAACCAAGGCUGUUUCUGGAGCAUAUCCCUUUGUUCUGCAAGGCACAGGAUCGUGUACACAGCAGCAGGAGGGGGCUCAGUUUCCUGCUGCUGCUCAUGGGAGGAGGACUUCCCACCCCAGGAAAGAGAAGACCAGGGGAAACUUGAGAAGGCUGCGAUGACACUGGAGGCACAGCUUCAGGGCUUUUAGCACUAUGCGUCACAUUCGUGUGACCCAUGACCAACAUGUAAUGUUGUGCCUGACGCACGUGAAGAGCUCUGCCUCUCUGGAGAGCGUCACAGAGGCUGCAGGGGUCCGGAGCUGGCAGCCCCCUGGGGCAGACGACAGCACCCUGUGACACCUGGUGCGUCAUCUGCAGCUGAGCUCCCAGUAAGGUCAGGCAGGAGACUGAUAAAUGACCCCACCUUGUCAACACCACCGUCAUUAGUGCUGUUAUCACCCUGCGAAUGGGAACGUGAAGGAAUUCAUAUCCCUGCCCUUGCCAAAGCUGGAGAGCAAGUGGGAACAGGAGCUGUGGAGGUGACUGUUCACACCACUUACAUUCUCCUGCAAAGCAGCACAAUGUUUGGUUUGUUAACCAAAGGGAUUUUGUAGCUGAUCAUUAAAUAUUAUUUCAGAUUAAUGGAAUUUAUAGGCUGUCUGAUGACGAUGAGAUUUCUUUCAAAGGAGGGACAAAAGACUUCAGCAUGCACUGGCAUGGCUAGAACACUAACAAAUCACUAGCGUGGUGGAAAGCCCAGAAAUGCUCUCAUGCCCCUUUUCUCAUGCAGCCUGUCUGAACUAACAGCACAUCCAAAAGCGGCAGGUAAUGUAGCCUGCACAGGGGCUGGAAAU
Gallus gallus (chicken) is the source of this 1002-nucleotide long non-coding RNA. Lineage: Eukaryota; Metazoa; Chordata; Aves; Galliformes; Phasianidae. The record is from Ensembl.